This is a long non-coding RNA of Acanthaster planci (crown-of-thorns starfish), 672 nucleotides long. NCBI's taxonomy places the organism in Eukaryota, Metazoa, Echinodermata, Asteroidea, Valvatida, Acanthasteridae. The record is from RefSeq and is a predicted model, not a curated record.
CGGAAAUAUAGGGGGCGCUGUAACUACAUGUGCAUCAACUAGUAACAUAGCAUACAGCAUACAGUCUAAAAUCACAGGAGGGUCACCGAAUCUGCCCCCGUCAUCGCAAACGGGAAUCUCAAAUGACAAGGGAUAUUGGACACUUGUUGCCGACUGGAUAAAAGUAGAUAUGGCAGUGAGGAUAGAAGGAACAUAUGCUGUCUACACUAGAAACCUGUCUUCUGCAGUGACUGCAUCUUUUAGGUAUUCAAGAUAUGAUGUGGGACAUGAUUUUUUGAGAAAACUACAGCCGAAUAGUUGAGAUCCGUCGUGGGGCCUGUGCUGUGCUAACUGAGGUGAUGUCUGCUACCCUGCCUGUAAUGAUAUGCUGAAAGGUCUACAUCCUUGAUCCCAGACAAAUGUCAGUGAUAGCAGAAAGUCCAGAGAGGUGAGAGCCAACUUGAUGGACUCGGCAAGUCAUCUUUUGCCUUGUUAAUUAAUUGUUAACAUUGUCGUUGUUGAUACAUGCACAUUGAAAAGGCACCAAUAAAGCAUACACCUGACGCUGACAAUCAUUUCUUCAAAGACUCGGUAAACAGGUGCAAUCUAAUUAUGUUGUCUUUGAUCAUUCAGAAAUUCAUCUGAUCAGUGCAAGGUUCCUUCAAUCUGAAAAGCAGUUACACCUUCUACUUG